Molecule: long non-coding RNA, 3777 nt
Filed under: Sus scrofa (pig)
Lineage: Eukaryota; Metazoa; Chordata; Mammalia; Artiodactyla; Suidae
Description: lncRNA (ENSSSCG00000054962.1)
Source: RNAcentral
GACAUGGCCUCCAGGAAGGCUUUGGUGUCAAAGGAGAAAGAUACAGGUCAAUGGAUCUCAAAUGUUUAAGGAUGGAAAGUGUUCAAGGUCUAGUUCCAGGGUAUCACUUCCUGAGAUUCUGUUUCAGGAAGCAGUGCUAGGUGGGACAGAUAACCUGGAAUCCUACUUUGUAAAAGAUGCUGGUGUUGGAAGAUGUCACUUUUGAGAAAAAGGUGUAGGGUCUCUCUAGCUUGUUGAUCUCCUUAAAGGGCUGUUGGUUCAGAACCACUAGCCACGUGGCUCUGAGUGGAACUCAGGGCAGCUUGGAUGAAGAAGCAGUGCCAGUGCCACCCAGACCUAAAUUUGAAUCCUCUGUGGCUUUGCACAAGUGUUUUCUUCUUGAAAUUCGGGUUCUUCCUUUUUAAAAGAGGAGAACCAUAUCGUCUACCUUAUGGGAUUUAAAGAAAUAAUGCACACAAGGCACUUAGCAGAGUGACAGGAGUGUAAUAAAGCAAAUAAUAAACAUUAUCUCUUGUGUUGGGGAGAGAAGGAAAUGUCGGUGAUAAGUACUCUGAGGCCAGGAAGAUGGUUUGCAGCAGGCAGAGCAACACAGAGGCUAGAUGUUGGAUCCUGGGGGUCCAGGGGCAGCAUCUGAAGAUAGAUCCUAGACUGGAAGAUGAAUAAACACAAGCUUGGGAGACACACUUUCUCAUCAUUUCAAAUGUUUCCAAAAAGUGGUUAUGAGCAGCCCAGAUGGCGCAGUUCACUGGAAAUAUAAUUGAUCCCCAAAUAGUAUUUAAGUCAAUAGUUUAAUUGAUUUUCCUCAGGUAAACUAUUAUAAGAACGUCUAAUAUGGAACCAAGUGAAAUGCAUCAAAUUCAGUGAUUUGUUCAUAUUUUCCACCCACCCUAUAUAGAAGGAGUAAUGAAUGAAGAAAAGAAUGGUCAAAGGGAGGAAAGGAACAGGGACCACAAAUCAAAUAGACUAUCAUUAAAUGAAAUCCUUUUUCUGGUAAUUCAGUUCUAUGUCAGACUGUUCUGAACCAGCUGGCUGGCUGGCAUGUGGCUGCUGCCAGGCACUCUCCCAAGAUGAAGCAUGCAGAAUAGAGGAAAUGGAACUGAUACCUCAGUUAGCUGCCUUAUUUAUUUAUUUAUUUAUUCUCUUUUUAGGGCCACACCUGUGGCAUAUCGAAGUUCCCAGGUUAGGGGUCUAAUCCGAGCUGUAGCCACCAGCCUACACCACAGCCACAGCAAUGCUAGAUCCAAGCUGCAUCUAUAGCCUACACCACAGCUCAUGGCAACACCAGAUCCUUAACCCACUGAGCAAGGCCAGGGAUUGAACCUGAGUCUUCAUGGAUGCUAGUCAGUUUAGUUACUGCUGAGCCACAAGGGAACUCCUAGAUGCCUUUCCUAAAAGACAAAGAUGAAAUGUAUUGGUGCUUGAAUGAACUAGCCAACAAGUUAAUAGCUGAGGGAUAUGGACAAGUGGGGUUGAGGUGGGAGAAGACUUCCGUAGGCAAAUCAUUUAGCCUCUUUGAGCCUUAUGUUCCUGUCUAAAUGCCCUUCUCAUCCUGGUACACUGUGAUAAGGCAGAGAUGGUGAGCCAAAUCCCAACACUUUAUUUUAUUUUUUCUCACCUGGAAAGUACCUAAUUAGGCUACCUAAGUUAUCACCAAAUACUAGCUAUUUUGAGGAAAUUUGUUUAUCAUGAACUACAAAAUUUUUACUGUAUUUUUUUUCCCUCCAUAAAUCCAAAUUUCAACUUCAGUAUGUUUUUAUCCAUGUCGUUAAUUCUCUGGGUAAAGAAUUAUAAUAGAUAGUAAUGAUAAAUAGAGAAAAUAAAAGUACUGCUUAUAGAAGACAUUAUUUUUCGAACAUCUAUCAUCUGCUAGGUAUUAUGCUUGUCAUAUUUCAUCUUUCACCCUUAUACUAACCUUGUGGUGUUCUCAUGGUCAUGUUCCAUGAGGAUUCUGAGAGGUCACUGAGACAGCAAAUAGCAUAGUUGGAAUUUGAAUCUAGGGCUUUCUAAUUCCGAAACCCGUGUUUCUACUCCUUUGAUAUAUGGUAAAUCUGCUGCACUGAGUGCAUUCAUAAUAAUCUUGUGUAGUUUGCUCUUUGAAUCAGUCUCCUAAUUUUUAUUCAGAAGUACAAUGCCAAGUAUUUUCCUGUCCUACUCCUUGACUCUCCACCUGUGAUCACUUUAGUGGAGGAUUUCUGUUCUUAUUGGCAACAUUACAGUAUUUUAUUUACUUUGAGUAAUGAGUUUAUUGACUAGUCUGAACUUGCCUGGGGCUUGUACAUGAAAGUAAUGAUUUAUUUUUUCUUCUCCAAUUAUUUGAGCUUUGUGAAAUUUCUCUUUGAGCAGAUAUCAUGAUAUUCUUGUUUUUUCUAGAUGGCAAAAAACAAAAAUACAAUCAGUUCUUUGUUAUAAAAACCUAAUCUCCAUCCAAUUUAAAACUGUUCCUCCAAUAUUAUAGGUUAGAGGUAAGCUUUUGAAAUCAGAAGACUAAGGGUGUGAUGUGUCUUUGGGAUACCAUUUCUUGUUCCCACUUCUAGGCCACUACAGAUUUGGGAGACUGGGGGCAUGGAGGAAGGAGAAGAAAAGGGGGCACAUCUUUCACAUUUAAUACUGUAGUUGUAGUUCUUCCUCCAUUACUCUUUCUCUGGUUAAUGUGCACUGGCCGGCUGAAGACCUCUGGAUGGUAGGCAUCCAUACCAGAAUUUUCAGGGGGUUCUCCGGAGUCUCCCCAUUGCACAGUCACUGAUAUAGGAGAUUCAACUACUUAGAACUCUAAAAUAUUAUCCUUGUAAACAUACUAAGCCUCCUGUUACUUGGGUCUGCUCAUUCAGCAGCCAGCCCUUAUGCUUGGAGCAUGGCAAAAUAAUGCAAACCUGGCUAUCUCCCCCUGAGUUCACUUGGCCCAUGGACAUGUGCUUGUGAGUCCCCCAUGGCUGUACCACCUCUCUUCAACACAUCUCUUUUUCACCUACAGUUCAAAUAGGUACAGGGGUGACUGGCAAGGCCACUGCCUAUGUAAAUAUCAAAGCCAGAAAUGAAAUGGCUGCAUCCCUUACUAUAGGCACUGUUCCCCAGCUUUUUUGUUUUGUUUUGUUCUUUAUUUAUUUUAAAUUUUUUUAUUGUUAUUUCUCCAAUACAAUACUUUUUCUACUGUACAGCAUGGUGACCCAUCAGAAUGGCUCUCUUGGAAGCCCCUGCACUUGUUCAGUGGUGAGAGAUGUAUCCUUAUGGGAGUAGAUGAAAAACAGGCAGCAUCACUCCCUUCCCCCCUAUAAAGGCUGCCUCACAGGUUUGGUGAUUUCCUGCUUCUCUUUUUCCAUUUCAGUCUUCCUUUUAGACUCCACUGGGGAAGGUAAGGGCACAGUUUGGGUGCCACUGGAGAGCACCAUAGCCUUUUGCCUUAGUGAGCCUUGAAGGAGAUAGUGACUCUAGUCAUUCCUUCUCCGACUUCUUUAUCCCAAUAUGGGGCCCUGCAGGUCAUAUCUGGGGUAAGAAGGAAACUUGCACCCAAUAGCCUGAUACUCAUGGGGGCAAAAAUUAAUUGAUGUAAAAUUUGAGGGAUUCUUGAUGUGGCUCAGCGGUAACAAACCUAUUAUUCUUGAGGAUGCAGGUUUGAUCCCUGGCCCCGCUCAGUGGGUUGAGGAUCUGGCAUUGCAGUGAGCUUCAGUGUAGGUUGCAGAUGAGGCUUGGAUCUGGGAUUGCUGUGGCUAUGGCAUAGGCUGGAAGCUGCAGCUCCAAUUCCCCUAGCCUGGGAACUUCCAUAUGUCACGGGUGCAGCCC